This 253-nucleotide ribosomal RNA is filed under the name uncultured bacterium. RNAcentral describes it as "partial 16S ribosomal RNA". It matches the Rfam family "Bacterial small subunit ribosomal RNA", at positions 524 to 776 of the family's 1533-position model. The record is from RNAcentral.
UACGUAGGGUGCAAGCGUUAAUCGGAAUUACUGGGCGUAAAGCGUGUGUAGGCGGCUUUGCAAGUCAGAUGUGAAAUCCCCGGGCUUAACCUGGGAACUGCAUUUGUGACUGCAUGGCUGGAGUGCGGCAGAGGGGGAUGGAAUUCCGCGUGUAGCAGUGAAAUGCGUAGAUAUGCGGAGGAACACCGAUGGCGAAGGCAAUCCCCUGGGCCUGCACUGACGCUCAUGCACGAAAGCGUGGGGAGCAAACAGG